CUUCCGGAGGCGAGGGGUGCUUUGAGUCUUCGUCUGGUUCUUUCUUUUUUUCCUAUUCUUCCAGAUCAUUCUUUCUUUUCCCACGACUCCGGGUUGGUUUUGCAGUAGAAUGAGCUGCAGACUCCCAGUGUUAUUUCAACCUUAAGUUCCAUCGACUUAAGCGUAAGCGCCCCACCUUUUGAGAGUGCGAGAGAUUUCCGCGGCCUGUAAACACAUGGUUUUUCCAGCCGUGACCCUAAUUUACUUACUGAUUUGAAAACCUAUACCUCCGGCCGCCCUAC
This 281-nucleotide long non-coding RNA is filed under the name Oryza brachyantha (malo sina). RNAcentral describes it as "long non-coding RNA (OBRA_LNC003603)". Lineage: Eukaryota; Viridiplantae; Streptophyta; Magnoliopsida; Poales; Poaceae. The record is from RNAcentral.